Long non-coding RNA from Bos taurus (domestic cattle), 768 nucleotides. Lineage: Eukaryota; Metazoa; Chordata; Mammalia; Artiodactyla; Bovidae. The record is from Ensembl.
ACUGAACAGACUACCUAUGGGGCAAAGACUGGAGACAUUAGCAGGGCGUCCACGCAGUUAUUUUCAGAAAUGAGGAAGUUUUGACCUGCUGGAUAAAGUUCUGCUGCAGGUGGUGUUGAUUGCUUUCAGAUGGCAGAGAAUGGUAAGCUCUUCUCUGCUGCUGCUGCUGCUGCUGCUGCUGCUAAGUCACUUCAGUCGUGUCCGACUCUGUGGGACCCUAGAGAUGGCAGCCCACCAGGCUCCCCCAUCCCUGGGAUUCUCCAGGCAAGAACACUGGAGUGGAUACUGUAUUUUUUUACAUAUUGAAGGUUUGUGGCAACCCUGUGUGGAGCAAGUCUAUCGGCACCAUUUUUCCAACAGCAUUAUUUUUAAUGAAGAAUAGUGAUGAAGGAUCAAGGUAAAUGGAUGAAGAGACUGAAGUUCACUGGGAUGAAGGGGGGCAGUUUAAAUUCAAAAGAUGAUCUUGGAAGAAUUCUUUUUAAAAUGUAUUUAUUUAUAUAUUUUGGCUAUGCUGGGUCUUCAUUGCUACACACAGGCUUCCUCUAGUUGCAGCGAGCAGGGGCUACUCUUGGUUGCUGUGUGCAGGCUUCUCUUGUUAUGGAGCACACAAGCUUCAGUAGUUGUGGCAUGCAGGCUUAGCUGCUCUACAGCAUCGAACUUAUGUCUCUGCAUUGGCCAGCGGGUUCUUAACCACUGGACCCCCAGAGGAGUCCUUGGAAGAGAAUUCUGCUUUCAAACCCAGAAGUUUAAUUAGUGACAAUAUAUAAG